GUAUAACAAGGAAGCACUACUUUACU
Molecule: small RNA, 26 nt
Filed under: Arabidopsis thaliana (thale cress)
Lineage: Eukaryota; Viridiplantae; Streptophyta; Magnoliopsida; Brassicales; Brassicaceae
Description: ATSL040020
Source: RNAcentral